This 482-nucleotide ribosomal RNA is filed under the name uncultured bacterium. RNAcentral describes it as "bacterial SSU rRNA". It matches the Rfam family "Bacterial small subunit ribosomal RNA", at positions 8 to 502 of the family's 1533-position model. The record is from RNAcentral.
AGAGUUUGAUCCUGGCUCAGAGUGAACGCUGGCGGCGUGCCUAACACAUGCAAGUCGAACGAGAACGGGUAUUAGUUUACUAAUACUGUCAGCUAAGUGGCGCACGGGUGAGUAAUAUAUAGUUAAUCUGCCCCAAAGAAGAGAAUAAUUGUUGGAAACGACUUGUAAUGCUCUAUAUGCCUUUAUCACAUAAGUGAGCAAGGGAAAUAUUUAUAGCUUUGGGAUGAGACUGUACGGUAUCAGAUAGUUGGUGAGGUAAUGGCUCACCAAGUCUAUGACGCCUAACUGGUUUGAGAGGAUGAUCAGUCACACUGGAACUGAGACACGGUCCAGACUCCUACGGGAGGCAGCAGUGGGGAAUAUUGCACAAUGGAGGAAACUCUGAUGCAGCAACGCCGCGUGGAGGAUGACACAUUUCGGUGCGUAAACUCCUUUUAUAUAGGAAGAUAAUGACGGUACCUAAUGAAUAAGCACCGCUAACU